UUCUUCUUCUUCUUGUAAGGUUUAUUGGCGGUGGACAAGCCAACUUCUGGUGCACUACCGCCACCUUCUGAACUGGAGUGUGGAUCCAAUUAUUUUUGUAAUUUUGUAAUUACAAUUGUACAACUGCUUCUUUUAAUUCCCUUUUUUUAUCAUAUCCUUUACAUUCUAUAGGCCCUUUUCACGUGACGUCACGCAUCUUCCGUUCUGCCGCGAAGCAGUGUAUCGUUACUUCCGCUAGCGCCUCAGAAUGGAGUUUACCAAGUCCCUUGCACAGCUGUCACAAAUACGGCUAGAUGAUAUACAACAUCUUGCAGACAAAUUUUCGCUUAUGACAAGAUCAAAGCUAAAUAAAGGAUACAAAUUCUUCAUUGAACAGUACCUGUUUGAUUCUGAAGGUUUUGUUUUGUUUUCUUUUUGUGUUAGCGAAGGUGCUAGGAUAAAGUACUUGAAUACGUGUUCUAUCAGUUUUUUUUUUCACUGCUGUUAAAUUCCAGCGCAACAGCAAAAUAGACGUUCUUCUUCUUCCUCUUCUUCUUGUUCGUUGCAAGACGGAUGUUAUGAAACACUGCUUUGCGAAAAGGCGAAAGUUGAGGUACAUCAUUGUGAAAAGGGCCUUUUAACCCAUUUUCUACAGAUUCUUGUUGACUAAACUUUUGAUAUAUUCCAUUUGGGUGUUUAUUUAUUAAAUAAAGUGUCUUAUUGAGUCCUGUGUAUCCUUUUCUCAGACGCGAGAGCACUACUCCUUCCCUUCUAUUUUUCCCCAUGAAAUUUCUAAUACCAAUAUACCUCGUAAUAUUAUAUAAAUGUCUUGUACUGUACUGUUUGUGUCCCAAUAAUUCUGCCAUAUUUUUUGAGAAAUAGUCUUUUAUAAUUGUUUUUGCUUCACCUUUACUUAAUAAAACUUUCAUUUCUAUUAUUUGUGACUUAAUGGAUUCUUUGGCAAACGUAUCUACUACUUCAUUAUCCUUCACCCCUACAUAUGCAGGAACUGUUUUUUUUCAGUGACUGGGGAGCGGCUAAAAAUGCUUGUACAAUAUAUAAGCGAGGGCUGAACUCUUCCAGAAUUCCCGCCAUGAGCAUGUAAAAACCUGUCUGUCAGAUAGGAAUACUGGAUAAUGAAAUGUGAAAGUAAUAAGCACCAAGUUCUUAUGUGUCUAACUAUCAAGAAACCAUUUUUGUUCAGUUAAGACUUCAAAGCUGCAUUGCUUUAGGUUUGAAAAAUAGUAUGUUACAUAGUUUUUUAAGACAAAAAUGAGCUUUACCCCAUAGAUAAAGAUGAAAAAAAGAGGUUAUGUAAUGGCAUGCUUUAACAUAAGAUCAUGAGAUGCAAUAUGCAGAGAAUUGCAAGAAUUGCAAGUCGAGGCAAGAUCUUGACAUCUAGGCAUUCUUUAGUUGGCUAUUGAUUCAUCUCUUAAUCUGGGCAGGACAAGGGCCUUAAUAAAGAUCUAUGGAAAUAGAAUCUCACUAAACGAAAUAUCUUAAAGUGAACAAGUAAAUAAGAUACAUGUAAGCAAUGUAUUUGCAUUCCACAACACACACUUAACAGUGGGACUAAGUUUAGCUGUGAGAGAGGUUUUUCAUUAAAGUCAAAAGAUAUGGUCGUACAUGUAAACUGUGAAGAUGAACAAAACAUGAAAACAUGUUUUAAUCUUAUGUUUUUAUUGUAAACAGUGGGUGUUUUAUGUAAUGUUAGCAUCACUAAAACCAGCCAACUGGAACGUUUACUAAACACUGACUUUCACUAUUUUAAAGCCUAAAUUCGGGUAAACCUUCAAUUAUUUUUUCCUAAAACAAUACAAAGCUGACCUGUAAAUAACAGGUAGAGCAGCACCUUUCUGGGAACAGCGGUCUGUGUGAAUGGGGUUUUAGUCAAAGCCAAACCCUGUUGACGACAAUAAUCUAACGUUACUCAUGUGUUGUUAAAGUCCCCGUGAACUGGAAGUUGCGAUCGUUUUUAAUUCCACAUUUUGACGCAUUUCCGAGUGAAAUGGAAUUUUGAAUGAGAAAAAUAGCGGCCGUGGCUUUCGUCUUUCUCUGCGAUUUGAUUGGAUGUAUAAAAACAGCCGUCGCAUUUUGAAAUGGAACUGGGAGCAGACUGACAUUUGAAGGGGAGGAGUUAACCCCGCCCAAGCCGUCUAACAUAAGUCAUAUACAAUGGAUAGUCGUUACAGGACAGAAGUGCAUUUUCAGACUUUAACUAAAGAUUAAGAGAGCACAUGGUUUUUAAAAAGCGAAUGACCCACAUUGAUAAACUAUUUACAAUAAAUGCUGCAAUAUUUCAUAAAAAAAUGGUACUGUUAAUUCAGGCAAACAAAGAUAUUGCAUUUAUUGAGCCUGGCAACAUUAAUCACAAUACAUUUGAUGCAAUGUAAUAGUCAACUAAUUGCAGAAUGCAUUCAUAACGACAUCUACAGAACAUAACAGGUUUGGACUGAAUAAUUCAAUAAAUUACCUGAAAAAAAACAUGUUUUUCAUGGUAUGCCAAGGCACAAUAAUGAUAAUUGUGAUUUAAAUUCAUACAGGCACUUGUACAACCUUGUCUAUGCGAUCUUAAUCAAACGACUUUUACUGUAUCCAUUAGUAUCAGCAUUAAGGCUAUUUGACUAAUAAAAAACAGUGUUGUGGUUCUACUCAGUCCAUUUAAAUGCAAUAAAUGACCAAACCAAAAGCAUCUAAAGUGCCUUUAGAUCCAUUAACAGUCCAUUUUUACAAGCUGCUCAGCUUCCACCGAUCAGCUGAGCUGAAAAUGUGUCCCAUUCUGAACAACGGGAAACAAAAUGAAUGCUGAACGGCUGAUCACACACAGUCCAAAAGACCUUGCAAGUGGGUUCAAUUCGCUUAGAAAUGCUUGUUUUAAUACACAGGUUACAAAACACAUAUAUUAAUGUGAACAUAAUACAUCCUCUCACAUUUGUGAGUAG
Triplophysa rosa is the source of this 2921-nucleotide long non-coding RNA. RefSeq lists it as uncharacterized. The record is from RefSeq and is a predicted model, not a curated record. The transcript is spliced from 2 exons. NCBI's taxonomy places the organism in Eukaryota, Metazoa, Chordata, Actinopteri, Cypriniformes, Nemacheilidae.